This 71-nucleotide transfer RNA is filed under the name Pseudomonadota bacterium. RNAcentral's name for it is "Proteobacteria bacterium tRNA-Gln". It matches the Rfam family "tRNA". From Rfam's summary of the family: Transfer RNA (tRNA) molecules are approximately 80 nucleotides in length. Their secondary structure includes four short double-helical elements and three loops (D, anti-codon, and T loops). RNAcentral also lists the same sequence under 1 other name. The record is from RNAcentral. Lineage: Bacteria; Pseudomonadati; Pseudomonadota.
UCGGGGAUCGUCUAACGGCAGGACACCAGAUUCUGGUUCUGGUUAUCUAGGUUCGAAUCCUAGUCCCCGAG